AGUUCAUUACAGCUUAAUGGCUGAAAAGGGUAUCAAUAGACCUUUCAAUCAGCGGGGGAACCAUAAGAAUAGACACUAUGCUAGUGAGCUAUUCAGGGGUGAAUCAGAGCAGUUGGUGAAGACCGAUAACUCUGUAGGGAGACUCUUACUUCCGAAUCCGUCAGCUAACCUCGUAAGCUGCAAUAAGAGAGACG
RNAcentral lists this small RNA (194 nucleotides) under Paenibacillus sp. RNAcentral's name for it is "c-di-AMP sequence". It matches the Rfam family "c-di-AMP riboswitch aptamer (ydaO/yuaA leader)". Rfam says of the family: This family represents a conserved RNA structure found upstream of the ydaO and yuaA genes in Bacillus subtilis and related genes in other bacteria. RNAcentral also lists the same sequence under 1 other name. Lineage: Bacteria; Bacillati; Bacillota; Bacilli; Caryophanales; Paenibacillaceae. The record is from RNAcentral.